CCCUUAGAUGUCCUGGGCUGCACGCGCGCUACACUGAUGUGUCCAGUAAGCACCUAACCUAUUCCGAGAGGUGCGGGUAACCUUAGCAAAGCACAUCGUGAUGGGGAUAGAUUAUUGCAAUUAUUAGUCUUGAACGAGGAAUUCCUAGUAAGCACAAGUCAUCAGCUUGUGUUGAUUACGUCCCUGCCCUUUGUACACACCGCCCGUCGCUCCUACCGAUUGAAUGUUCCGGUGAGCUCUUCGGACUGCGCGGUCUGCAGUUUCUGCGUUCCGUGCGGAAAGUUGUGCAAACCUUAACAUUUAGAGGAAGGAGAAGUCGUAACA
Molecule: ribosomal RNA, 324 nt
Filed under: uncultured eukaryote
Lineage: Eukaryota
Description: partial 18S ribosomal RNA
Rfam family: Eukaryotic small subunit ribosomal RNA
Source: RNAcentral